Molecule: long non-coding RNA, 228 nt
Filed under: Gallus gallus (chicken)
Lineage: Eukaryota; Metazoa; Chordata; Aves; Galliformes; Phasianidae
Source: RNAcentral
CGUGGGCUUCCAGUUUCAUACCAACUUUGAAAUCAUUUGUAGGCGGAAUUCUGUUUGAAACAAUGUAGAGGGGCAGCUAUUGAUUCAGUCUCUUUCAGAUAAUCAUCCCAACUAAACUGUUCUUUAGCUGUGGUUCUCCCCAUGGUAACACUUGUGUGAUCUUCCCUCUCACAAUAAAAAGGCUGAAGUUGAAAGACCAGUUAAUUCUUCCUUUCAGUACAACAGUUU